ACGGUCCUACGGGGCGCAGCAGUGAGGAAUAUUGGUCAAUGGGCGAGAGCCUGAACCAGCCAAGUCGCGUGGGGGAGUACUGCCCUAUGGGUUGUAAACCUCUUUUGUCGGGGAGCAAAAGCCGGACGUGUCCGGCUGUGAGAGUACCUGAAGAAAAAGCAUCGGCUAACUCCGUGCCAGCAGCCGCGGUAAUACGGAGGAUGCGAGCGUUAUCCGGAUUUAUUGGGUUUAAAGGGUGCGUAGGCGGAAUUCCAAGUCAGCGGUAAAAUCGCGGGGCUCAACCUCGCUCCGCCGUUGAAACUGGG
RNAcentral lists this ribosomal RNA (305 nucleotides) under uncultured bacterium. Its description in RNAcentral is "bacterial SSU rRNA". It matches the Rfam family "Bacterial small subunit ribosomal RNA", at positions 333 to 637 of the family's 1533-position model. The record is from RNAcentral.